This 909-nucleotide ribosomal RNA is filed under the name uncultured bacterium. Its description in RNAcentral is "bacterial SSU rRNA". It matches the Rfam family "Bacterial small subunit ribosomal RNA", at positions 33 to 932 of the family's 1533-position model. The record is from RNAcentral.
ACGCUGGCGGCAGGCUUAACACAUGCAAGUCGAACGGUAACAUAAAGAAGCUUGCUUCUUUGAUGACGAGUGGCGGACGGGUGAGUAAUGCUUGGGAAUCUAGCUUAUGGAGGGGGAUAACUACGGGAAACUGUAGCUAAUACCGCGUAAUAUCGAAAGAUUAAAGUGUGGGACCUUCGGGCCACAUGCCAUAGGAUGAGCCCAAGUGGGAUUAGGUAGUUGGUGAGGUAAAGGCUCACCAAGCCGACGAUCUCUAGCUGGUCUGAGAGGAUGACCAGCCACACUGGGACUGAGACACGGCCCAGGCUCCUACGGGAGGCAGCAGUGGGGAAUAUUGCGCAAUGGGGGCAACCCUGACGCAGCCAUGCCGCGUGAAUGAAGAAGGCCUUCGGGUUGUAAAGUUCUUUCGGUAGCGAGGAAGGCAUUUAGUUUAAUAGACUAGGUGAUUGACGCUAACUACAGAAGAAGCACCGGCUAACUCCGUGCCAGCAGCCGCGGUAAUACGGAGGGUGCGAGCGUUAAUCGGAAUAACUGGGCGUAAAGGGCACGCAGGCGGUGACUUAAGUGAGGUGUGAAAGCCCCGGGCUUAACCUGGGAAUUGCAUUUCAUACUGGGUCGCUAGAGUACUUUAGGGAGGGGUAGAAUUCCACGUGUAGCGGUGAAAUGCGUAGAGAUGUGGAGGAAUACCGAAGGCGAAGGCAGCCCCUUGGGAAUGUACUGACGCUCAUGUGCGAAAGCGUGGGGAGCAAACAGGAUUAGAUACCCUGGUAGUCCACGCUGUAAACGAUGUCGAUUUGGGGGUUGAGCUUUGAGCUUGGCCGCCCGUAGCUAACGUGAUAAAUCGACCGCCUGGGGAGUACGGCCGCAAGGUUAAAACUCAAAUGAAUUGACGGGGGCCCGCACAAGCGG